Molecule: ribosomal RNA, 253 nt
Filed under: uncultured bacterium
Lineage: Bacteria
Description: partial 16S ribosomal RNA
Rfam family: Bacterial small subunit ribosomal RNA
Source: RNAcentral
UACAGAGGUCUCGAGCGUUAGGCGGAAUCACUGGGCUUAAAGCGUGUGUAGGCGGAUCGGUAAGUACCUUGUGAAAUCCCACAGCUUAACUGUGGAACUGCUUGGUAUACUGCCAGUCAUGAGCCACUUAGGGGCUACCGGAACAAAUGGUGGAGCGGUGAAAUGCGUAGAUAUCAUUUGGAACGCCAAUGGUGAAAACAGGUAGCUGGGAGUGUGCUGACGCUGAGACACGAAAGCCAGGGGAGCAAACGGG